AGCUAUACAUGCAGUCGAGCGCGGGAAGCGAGUGGAUCCCUUCGGGGUGAAGCUCGUGGAACGAGCGGCGGACGGGUGAGUAACACGUGGGCAACCUGCCUGUAAGAUCGGAAUAACCCCGGGAAACCGGGGCUAAUGCCGGGUAAUACUUUCUUUCGCAUGAAGGAAAGUUGAAAGAUGGCUUCUUGCUAUCACUUACAGAUGGGCCCGCGGCGCAUUAGCUAGUUGGUGAGGUAACGGCUCACCAAGGCGACGAUGCGUAGCCGACCUGAGAGGGUGAUCGGCCACACUGGGACUGAGACACGGCCCAGACUCCUACGGGAGGCAGCAGUAGGGAAUCUUCCGCAAUGGACGAAAGUCUGACGGAGCAACGCCGCGUGAACGAUGAAGGUCUUCGGAUCGUAAAGUUCUGUUGUUAGGGAAGAACAAGUACCGUGCGAAUAGAGCGGUACCUUGACGGUACCUAACGAGGAAGCCCCGGCUAACUACGUGCCAGCAGCCGCGGUAAUACGUAGGGGGCAAGCGUUGUCCGGAAUUAUUGGGCGUAAAGCGCGCGCAGGCGGUUCCUUAAGUCUGAUGUGAAAGCCCACGGCUCAACCGUGGAGGGUCAUUGGAAACUGGGGAACUUGAGGACAGAAGAGGAGAGUGGAAUUCCACGUGUAGC
RNAcentral lists this ribosomal RNA (664 nucleotides) under Halobacillus trueperi. RNAcentral's name for it is "bacterial SSU rRNA". It matches the Rfam family "Bacterial small subunit ribosomal RNA", at positions 47 to 679 of the family's 1533-position model. Lineage: Bacteria; Bacillati; Bacillota; Bacilli; Caryophanales; Bacillaceae. The record is from RNAcentral.